CCUACGGGUGGCAGCAGUGGGGAAUAUUGGACAAUGGGGGAAACCCUGAUCCAGCGACGCCGCGUGUGUGAAGAAGGCCUGCGGGUUGUAAAGCACUUUUAGUGGGGAUGAAAAGCUCAGGGCUAAUACCUCUGGGUCUUGACCUAACCCACAGAAAAAGCACCGGCUAACUCUGUGCCAGCAGCCGCGGUAAUACAGAGGGUGCAAGCGUUAAUCGGAAUUACUGGGCGUAAAGCGUGCGUAGACGGUUAUGUAAGUCGGGUGUGAAAGCCCCGGGCUCAACCUGGGAAUGCCAUUCGAGACUGCAUAGCUAGGGUGCGGAAGAGGGAAGCGGAAUUUCCGGUGUAGCGGUGAAAUGCGUAGAUAUCGGAAGGAACACCAGUGGCGAAAGCGGCUUCCUGGUCCAGCACCGACGUUCAGGCACGAAAGCGUGGGGAGCAAACAGGAUUAGAUACCCCAGUAGUC
This 465-nucleotide ribosomal RNA is filed under the name uncultured Gammaproteobacteria bacterium. RNAcentral's name for it is "bacterial SSU rRNA". It matches the Rfam family "Bacterial small subunit ribosomal RNA", at positions 338 to 795 of the family's 1533-position model. The record is from RNAcentral. Lineage: Bacteria; Pseudomonadati; Pseudomonadota; Gammaproteobacteria.